RNAcentral lists this ribosomal RNA (403 nucleotides) under uncultured bacterium. Its description in RNAcentral is "bacterial SSU rRNA". It matches the Rfam family "Bacterial small subunit ribosomal RNA", at positions 356 to 773 of the family's 1533-position model. The record is from RNAcentral.
GGGGAAUAUUGCACAAUGGGGGAAACCCUGAUGCAGCGACGCCGCGUGAAGGAAGAAGGUCUUCGGAUCGUAAACUUCUUUGAUUGGGGAAGAAGUAAGUGACGGUACCCAAGGAACAAGCCACGGCUAACUACGUGCCAGCAGCCGCGGUAAAACGUAGGUGGCGAGCGUUGUCCGGAAUUACUGGGUGUAAAGGGCGCGUAGGCGGGGGAGCAAGUCAGGUGUGAAAUACCACGGCUCAACCGUGGGGGUGCAUCUGAAACUGUUCUUCUUGAGUGCUGGAGAGGAAAGCGGAAUUCCUAGUGUAGCGGUGAAAUGCGUAGAGAUUAGGAGGAACACCAGUGGCGAAGGCGGCUUUCUGGACAGUAACUGACGCUGAGGCGCGAAAGCGUGGGGAGCAAAC